ACGCACGCUGGCGGCGUGCUUCACACCUGCAAGUCGCACGGAAAGGCCCUGCUUUUGUGGGGUGCUCGAGUGGCGAACGGGUGAGUAACACGUGAGUAACCUGCCCUUGACUUUGGGAUAACUUCAGGAAACUGGGGCUAAUACCGGAUAGGAGCUCCUGCUGCAUGGUGGGGGUUGGAAAGUUUCGGCGGUUGGGGAUGGACUCGCGGCUUAUCAGCUUGUUGGUGGGGUAGUGGCUUACCAAGGCUUUGACGGGUAGCCGGCCUGAGAGGGUGACCGGCCACAUUGGGACUGAGAUACGGCCCAGACUCCUACGGGAGGCAGCAGUGGGGAAUAUUGCACAAUGGGCGGAAGCCUGAUGCAGCAACGCCGCGUGCGGGAUGAAGGCCUUCGGGUUGUAAACCGCUUUCGCCUGUGACGAAGCGUGAGUGACGGUAAUGGGUAAAGAAGCACCGGCUAACUACGUG
RNAcentral lists this ribosomal RNA (467 nucleotides) under uncultured bacterium. RNAcentral's name for it is "partial 16S ribosomal RNA". It matches the Rfam family "Bacterial small subunit ribosomal RNA", at positions 29 to 507 of the family's 1533-position model. The record is from RNAcentral.